Molecule: long non-coding RNA, 1641 nt
Filed under: Zalophus californianus (California sea lion)
Lineage: Eukaryota; Metazoa; Chordata; Mammalia; Carnivora; Otariidae
Description: lncRNA (ENSZCAG00015000176.1)
Source: RNAcentral
AGUGGUGUGAAGGGUUGGGCUUUUUUUUUUGUUCCUAAAAAUGCAACGAACAAAAAAAAAAGUACAACAAUCCAAACCCAACCAUCUUGUUGCGCGCCAGCUUUCUUCCCGGGUGGCUCCACCGGGGACGGCGCCGCCUCCUGUCGCCCGCGCUCCGUCAGGCCCAGCCCACGAGUCUUAGCGAGCCGUCAGCCUGCCAGCGCCCAGGCUCGGCGGGCUCUGGGCACCGCGCUCCGCGCCGCGCGCAGCCCCUCUGGAAGGGAGAGAAGCGAGCAGCCCGGGACCCUCCCCUCUUCCAGGCGCACCGCAGGCGGUGGCAGUUAUUGGUGGCGGUUGUUGACACCGGAAGGACUCCCGCCUCACCUCACCCACCGCCCCCCACCCCCACCCCCACCCUGGGAAAGACGAGACUCGGGAGACAGAACAAAGGCGAAGCCCGGCCGAGGAGGCGGACCGAGGUGCCGGGAGAGGAGGGCGGUGGGGCGGGGCACGGCGGGCGCCGCGAGUCCAUUUUGCUGCGGUGCCCAGCCGGUAACGCGCGGUCCCCGCUGCUGGAGGACAGGCGGCCGCGCGGCUCCAGGUGGGGCCCCUCCCACGACCCCCCAAGUAGCCUCGUUUGAUUGUCAAUCACAACGUGAGAAAAAAACAAAAACCUGAUUGCUUUGUCCUGGGAAAUAGUAACCCUGACGAAUACACCUGCUCGCAGGGGACAGAGGUAAACUACAAUACUUCUCCCUACAUUAAGAAACCAAAAAAGCACCCAGUUUUUUUUUUUUUUUUUUUUUAAGCCCAGAAUCAUGCAAAAUUGAACUAGGUGCAGAAUGUGUUCCCAUCCUCAUGGGCGGUCUCUGUUCUUUUCAUAUUUUUUCAAAACUCAGGAGAAUAGAUUCAGUAUUUGGAAAAUCUUUAUGUAGCAGUUAUUCGACAUGUACUGCAGUCCACAGAUUUAUAAUGAAAAGGAAAAGAGAGGCCGUAGUAGCAUUUAUUUUUUUUUUAAGAUUUUUUUUUUCCUUCUCCCAUACUGUGCUGCUAGGACUUGUACAAAUACUGAGUUUUCUAACUCUAGAGACUUUUAUACAAUAGGUAUUUUAAAAGCAGAAUUCCAUUUACAUAGCCACUCCUUCUGGUAGAACUUGAUGGAGCUGUUGAUUAACUGGUUAUACUUCUGUCUUCCACAGUGAGAAGGUACAUUUCUUCAGGCUCUCCUUUUCUUAAAAAUACUAUCUUUUUUUGCACUAGCUGAGAUACUAAGCUUCCCUGGUAAGUCCUUCCAUAACACCAGGUUAUUCUUUCCAUUCUAUACACUUAUGACUGGCUGGUUACCUGGUCUUACUUGUACCAUAGCUACUGUUCAGAUAUGCCCGUUUCCAUGAAAGUGCUUUGUACCUGCUAUCCUAUAUAAUGCUUUACCUUUUCAAGAAAUUGUAGUUCAAGAGAGUCUGGCUCUUUCAGGACCUUUCUUGGUUAAUAUACUCAUGCUCUAAAAUAACACUUUAAAUGUGAAUUUACAUUUUGUGUAUUUGUACCCAACUGUAAUUAUCCACUUUACCUUUAUAUAGUUUAGCAAUUUACAAAACUGGCACUCAUUACUUAAUAUUCCCAGAAACAUGAUGAGGUAGAUAAUGUAAACAUCCUCAUUCU